AGUGAACGCUGGCGGUAGGCCUAACACAUGCAGGUCGAACGGCAGCACAGUAAGAGCUUGCUCUUACGGGUGGCGAGUGGCGGACGGGUGAGGAAUACAUCGGAAUCUACUUUUUCGUGGGGGAUAACGUAGGGAAACUUACGCUAAUACCGCAUACGACCUACGGGUGAAAGCAGGGGAUCUUCGGACCUUGCGCGAUUGAAUGAGCCGAUGUCGGAUUAGCUAGUUGGCGGGGUAAAGGCCCACCAAGGCGACGAUCCGUAGCUGGUCUGAGAGGAUGAUCAGCCACACUGGAACUUGGACACGGUCCAGACUCCUACGGGAGGCAGCAGUGUGGAAUAUUGGACAAUGGGCGCAAGCCUUAUCCAGCCAUACUGCGUGGGUGAAGAAGGCCUUCGGGUUGUAAAGCCCUUUUGUUGGGAAAGAAAAGCAGCAGGUUAAUACCCCGCUGUUCUGACGGUACCCAAUGAAUAAGCACCGGCUAACUUCGUG
Molecule: ribosomal RNA, 492 nt
Filed under: uncultured bacterium
Lineage: Bacteria
Description: partial 16S ribosomal RNA
Rfam family: Bacterial small subunit ribosomal RNA
Source: RNAcentral